CCUACGGGUGGCAGCAGUGAGGAAUAUUGGUCAAUGGACGAGAGUCUGAACCAGCCAAGUAGCGUGAAGGAUGACUGCUCUAUGGGUUGUAAACUUCUUUUAUAAAGGAAUAAAACGAGGCACGUGUGCAUUUAUGCGUGUACUUUAUGAAUAAGGAUCGGCAAACUCCGUGCCAGCAGCCGCGGUAAUACGGGGGAUCUGAGGGUUAUCCGGAUUUGGUGGGUUAAAAGGGUGCGCAGGCGGAGUGGCAAGUGAGUGGUAAAAUUGCGGGGCUAAAACCCGUACUGCCGUUGAAAAUGCAUCCCUUGAGUGCGCGAGAAGUAUUCGGAAUGCGUGGGGUAGCGGUGAAAUGCAUAGAUAUAACGCAGAACUCCGAUUGCGAAGGCAGCAUACCGGCGCGCAACUGACGCUCAUGCACGAAAGCGUGGGUAUCGAACAGGAUUAGAUACCCCGGUAGUC
RNAcentral lists this ribosomal RNA (459 nucleotides) under uncultured bacterium. RNAcentral's name for it is "partial 16S ribosomal RNA". It matches the Rfam family "Bacterial small subunit ribosomal RNA", at positions 338 to 795 of the family's 1533-position model. The record is from RNAcentral.